Molecule: long non-coding RNA, 1714 nt
Organism: Mesocricetus auratus (golden hamster)
Lineage: Eukaryota; Metazoa; Chordata; Mammalia; Rodentia; Cricetidae
Exons: 4
Source: RefSeq, a predicted model, not a curated record
CAGAGAGAGGACUCUCACGUUGCUGAUGUCUGGUUCAUGCCUUUCUUUCUCUCCUUUUUAAAUCCAAGCUGGGAUAAGAUGUGAUCUUUGUGGGCCAGUUUUAUUGAAGGGUCAGUGUUUUGUGCCAAAAAUACUGCCUACUUGGGGAGGUUGCUUGUGUAUGCUGUGUAGCCAAGGCUAGUUUUGAAAUGGUUUUAAACCAUUUUUUGAUUCCUUCAGCAGCUAAAAAGAGGGUAGAAUUUGGGGAAGUCGAUUUUAAAAAUUGUUCAAUUACAAUUCAGUUUCUGAAAAUCAUUUUGGGUUCUUCUUCUUUCUUCUUCUUCUUCAUUUGUUCCAAACUAUAUAAUGAUAACUAUCACAUAAAGAAGAGGAUGACCUAGGGAUGGGACAUAAAUGUGCUUUUGUAUUUGCUGUAAAUUGCACUUACAAUCAGAGUCAAUUCUACCUAAAGCAUCAGUAACAUGUUCUCCCACAUUCAUCCUUCAAAAAUGAAAUCUUGUGGGGCUGAAAAGAUUGCUCAGUAGUUAAGAGUACUGGCUGCUCUUCAGAGGACCCGUGUUCAAUUCCCAGCACCCACGUGGUAGUUCACAACUGCCUGUAACUCCAGUUCCAGGGUAUCUGGCACCCUCAUACAGACAUAUAUGCAAGCAAAACACCAAUGCUAAAAUAAGAAUAAAGCUUUAGUUUAUAUGCAUGUUGAUUUUCCUGCAGUUAAUUCAAAGUCAAAUCUGUCUGAGUUUUUGUAUGGCUGCAUGGUGUGUUCUGACUCGGUGGGCUUUGCUGCUAGUGGGCUUUGCUGCUAGUUGGCUUUGGAAGUGCGCCCCCAUGUUUGUUUCUAUUAUAAUAAGGUUGAUUUAGUAUGAAUGGUUUUAUACAGUGAAAAGGCAAAAGUGUUUAACACCAGAGAGCAUGGUUUAGUACGACUGCUUUAAACAUUCAUUGCUAGAACCUACCUGAAGCAAGUUUUGGUGUUUAGAAGGCGUGAAUGUCUGUGUCUGUUUUCCCCACUGACAAAGCUAGUGGGGAAAAACCUCUUCCGUAUAUUUUUCCUGCUGGGUGGUCAGAGGGAAAGGCCAGGAAGGCAAAGGCCUCCUAUUGAGACACUCCUCCGUCAGAGGCAUAAGAGGCGACCUCUCAUAGUGUUUCUGGGGCACCUGUUCCUCUCUACUCACUGUGGGUGUGAGACGUGAGCCGGCAGUGCUCUCCUGCAGGGAAGCUGCCACCUACAGCAUGGCCACUCACAGGGCCUCUAAAAUGCUCACAGACUGCUAUUCUUCGUGACUGGGAAGUGAUUUUGAUGCCAGUUAGGGACUAUACAGCAAGAUUGCUCUGCCUACUCCAUUAUGGCUAGGGCUUCCUCUGCAAGUGUUGAAGGCCAGUUGAUCUUGGAUGUUGGCUACAUUCCAAGGUGACAAAUGGUGUUGGACAUCUUUGCUCUGCUUAUGUAUGCAGAUAAAUUUUGUGGAGGAAGAACCAAGCAGAUGAGGCCUUAAAACAAGGAAGACCGAUGUUAGCAAUCACUGGUGCCUGGUUGUGGACUGGGCCACAACCUUGCAAGGAGCUUCCCCUCCUGGUAGUGCUGGAGUGACACCUCAUUGAACAUGGAUGUCUCAUGUUCAGCUCAGCACAGGUCUCAUCACUGUGCUGAGCUGAUUGAUGUCUUUGUGUAGCUGUGUUUGUAUUGUCAAUAAAGCAGGAGUUUCUUGCCUCUUCA